GAUUAACUCACUCGGUAGAGCAUGAGUCUCUUAAUCUUAGGGUUGUGGGUUCGAGCCACACAUUGGGCA
Molecule: non-coding RNA, 69 nt
Organism: Podarcis lilfordi (Lilford's wall lizard)
Lineage: Eukaryota; Metazoa; Chordata; Lepidosauria; Squamata; Lacertidae
Source: the annotation of a GenBank genome assembly